AGCUGCGUGUCUGCGAGGUAAACAGCUGCUGACCUUUUGACUUGGAUGCUACUUGACGCUUUGGCCCAAACACAAGCCACUCCCUCGCCGCACAUGGAAACCACCAGUGAAGGGUUGCUGCCCGCAGAGGGGAAGCUGCAGAUGUUGGGUCUCAUAUACUGCACAAGAUCUAUCCGCCGCUGAGGGUUCUGCAGAGCGGCAGCUGGUGUGUUUUGUAGCGGAUUUACUAAUCUGAGGGUGAAGAGAAGAUUUCAGAUGAGCGACUCCACUCAUCUGACAACAUGACCAGCGUCAACUCUCCAGCAUGUUUGCUUGCCCGUAACCACUUUUAUAAAAACUCGCCCCCCGGCCACGAGAAGAUAAAGCCUGUUGUGGAUGUGUUGAGCUGUCUGAACCACUCCGUCACGCACAAUCCGAGACGGUUCACCCUCUGGGUCACCAUGGCAACGCCUCCAGGAUUCCCGAGUGGCAUUAGGAACAAAGAAGUAUGGGUCAACGUUGUUCUGAACACAUCUUCUGUUCACUUGUCCCCCUCCAAACCAACCAGCCCUGCUGACCGGAGCGUCAAGUAGAAGAAAACAAGCGCCCCUCAUUGUUCACAGAAUGAUAUGGAAACUUAAAAAGCGGGUUCCCAUGACGUCCCCAUUCUCGAGGCCUCUUGGCUGCUCGGGAUUUGACAGCCUGAGUCAAACGGACAAGCUCGGACACAGUGGAAGAUUCCACAGUAAACAGGCACAUAAAUGUAACAUUUACUGUCAAAGCCUGUGGGUGCAGUGACAAAUGUUGAUUGAAUACAGUUCCAACCUACGUUUCUGAAAGUGUGUACCGUUAACAAAGUCGGAUUUGAGUAAAUACUACUUUCAUCUCUUUGAUGGAGCAACGUUGUUCAAUUGGUGAGCGAUGUAAAUGUAAAGCCAUCAUUUCAGUGGAACAGUACUGUGAAAAUCCACAGUUUGUGUAAAGAAAGAUUGUUUGCAGCGGGUCUUAACUCCAGUCCCUACACAAAUUAACUAAAGAUAAUGAAAUACAUACUAUGACUCCCAGCACAAAUUCACAGAAGUGUAUUUUAAAGUGGUGGUUUUUUUUGUAAUAUGGAAGAAGGAAGCCGGCUGUUUAGCAGCUGUUGACAAUAAUAAAGGUGACUGGGAAUAUGUCAUCAUGAACAGCUGCACCAUUUCCAUCAUAACUCAUCACAAGUAUGUAAACAUUGCUAAUAUGAAUAUUUAGAACUGCAAGGAUUAGUCGACUAAAUCAAUAAUCGAUUAAAAGAAACUUGUUUUGAAAACUAAUUAAGAAAUUUGAACAGGGAUGUAGUCAGCUAUUCAAAUUCAUUUGAAAGUAACUCUACCUAUUUGUGUUGUAAUGCGAUAGUGCUAAAACAGACCAUAAGUCUUAUGGUUCGGAUAGUACCACGGAUCUAAUUACUAUAGGAGUAGGAGGUAACUAAUCGGUUUUCUUAAAACUAUCAUGUCGCCCAGCAGUAAAACCAUCAAGUGGAAGGCAGAACAGAUGUCGUGGAAGAGAGGAACGAGGUGUCUGUAAACAAGGGGACAAGUUCCAGGCAAGGAGAUGAAACCGCCUCCUUCUCUCCUACUUUCCAACGAGCCACCGUGCAGCCGGUCACCCGGAAAAACUGCAGCGUGGGGAGGACGAGGGGCCGCGCCGCUCUUCAGAUGAGCCACAGAACAAACCCUCCAACCUUUCAGCACUGUGGUGCAGGGGCCCCCACUUUGCACUAUUGUUUUCUCUCGUUGCUCGGCUUCGUGCAGCCAAACAGACGGCAGGGGGCUGAAUGGGGAACAGCGGCGCUUACACAAAUCCAUUUCACAGUCAAAUGGAAAGAGCCAUGCGUGAGGAUUUGUGCUGCAGCGCAGUCAGCGGGGACAGUAGAGGUUUUCUGCUUCUGUAUCGUCAAACCCUUUACUGUGUGAAUGGAGCUUCGAUGUGCUGAACCACUCUAGUAGGCUUUGAAUAUAUAACUUGCCCGACCACACGACUUGCUGUUUUAUUUCAGUGAACUCAGUCAAUGUUGUAGUGAGGAGUUCAUGGAAUAGAUGGGUAUACCAAAAAAAGUUUAGCUUUAAUUAUGCCUGUGAAUCAAAUGACAAUUUCUUCAUAAAGACUAUUAAAUCGGCAUGUGAAACAAGGGCAUAUAAAUCGUUAGGGCAGCGAUAUAAAAUAUGCUGAUACCAAAAUAUAACAAAAUCUGUUUUUGUACCGUUCAAUAAAAUUGAAACAACUUGAAUCCAGAAAAAAUAGAUGAGUCAUGAAGCAACACCAC
Long non-coding RNA from Pungitius pungitius (ninespine stickleback), 2281 nucleotides. RefSeq lists it as uncharacterized. Lineage: Eukaryota; Metazoa; Chordata; Actinopteri; Perciformes; Gasterosteidae. The transcript has 4 exons. The record is from RefSeq and is a predicted model, not a curated record.